RNAcentral lists this ribosomal RNA (391 nucleotides) under uncultured bacterium. RNAcentral's name for it is "bacterial SSU rRNA". It matches the Rfam family "Bacterial small subunit ribosomal RNA", at positions 28 to 424 of the family's 1533-position model. The record is from RNAcentral.
GACGAACGCUGGCGGCGUGCUUAACACAUGCAAGUCGAGCGGAAAGGCCCUUCGGGGUACUCGAGCGGCGAACGGGUGAGUAACACGUGGGUAACCUGCCCCUUGCUCUGGGAUAACUCCGGGAAACCGGGCUAAUACCGGAUACGGACCACUUUAAGGCAUCUUCGGUGGUGGAAAGUUUUUCGGCGAGGGAUGGACCCGCGGCCUAUCAGCUUGUUGGUGGGGUAAUGGCCUACCAAGGCAGUGACGGGUAGCCGGCCNGAGAGGGCGACCGGCCACACUGGGACUGAGACACGGCCCAGACUCCUACGGGAGGCAGCAGUGGGGAAUAUUGCGCAAGUGGGCGAAAGCCUGACGCAGCGACGCCGCGUGAGGGAUGACGGCCUUGGUU